Molecule: transfer RNA, 69 nt
Filed under: Conocara murrayi (Murray's smooth-head)
Lineage: Eukaryota; Metazoa; Chordata; Actinopteri; Alepocephaliformes; Alepocephalidae
Description: tRNA-Arg
Rfam family: tRNA
About the family: Transfer RNA (tRNA) molecules are approximately 80 nucleotides in length. Their secondary structure includes four short double-helical elements and three loops (D, anti-codon, and T loops).
Source: RNAcentral
AGGAGGUUAGUCCAAACAAGACCCCUGAUUUCGACUCAGAAGAUCGCAGUUAAAACCCGCGACCCCCUU